Molecule: long non-coding RNA, 477 nt
Organism: Drosophila serrata
Lineage: Eukaryota; Metazoa; Arthropoda; Insecta; Diptera; Drosophilidae
Source: RefSeq, a predicted model, not a curated record
UUUUUAGAUACGCACAAAAUGGAGCCACCGGCAAAAAUUCAAAAGCUGGCGUUUGAUAUUGAAGAUGACAUAAGCAGCAGCAAAAAUGAAAUUGAACGGUUGGUUCAAAAGGUCGAUGACCUUGACAAGAAGGUGCAGGCCCAAAGUGAAAUUUUGGAGUCCUGCACGCAGCAGGUCUCAAGGUUGAUUGCAUUGCUGGAGGUCUUCCUUAAAGGAAAGGACAAAAGCAAUGCAGUCAACUUUGAGUUCCCUAUAAAGGACUCUGGAGUUUAGUUUAGCCCCAGAAAAUAAAGACAUAUAUAUCACCGCAGUUACAAAACUUCUAAAGAGGGCAAAAAUUACGAAGUCCAUCAAAAUUGUGCUGGCCGAGGAUCUGCUCCUACUAUACAACAUUGAAGGGGUCAGUGGGAAGAGGAAGAAAGUAUUUCCAGGUUGGAGGACCAGAGCCAGCCAGCAGAGAAGGUCCUGGCUCACGCG